CGACGUGAGUAACCUGCCUCUAAGAGGGGAAUAACAUUCUGAAAAGAAUGCUAAUACCGCAUAACAUAUAUUUAUCGCAUGGUAGAUAUAUCAAAGAUUUAUCGCUUAGAGAUGGACUCGCGUCCGAUUAGUUAGCUGGUGAGGUAACGGCUCACCAAGACUGCGAUCGGUAGCCGGACUGAGAGGUUGAACGGCCACAUUGGGACUGAGACACGGCCCAG
RNAcentral lists this ribosomal RNA (221 nucleotides) under uncultured bacterium. RNAcentral describes it as "partial 16S ribosomal RNA". It matches the Rfam family "Bacterial small subunit ribosomal RNA", at positions 113 to 334 of the family's 1533-position model. The record is from RNAcentral.